GAUUCCUUCGCACCUCGUCAUUGACCACAACAGACACCUCACUCCCAGAUUUGUUCCCCUUCUCCUCCCUACUCCACCGGUGCGACUUCUAGGGAGACAUUGAUGGUCCAUCUCGGCGUUAGGGGGGCGAGCCCCUAAUCUCCUCCGCCUCCCAUCCUGACAGAUUACUUUAUGUGGUCGUGAUGCCCAUCCCAAUAGGGAGGCUGAAUAGGCAUUGGGGAAUUCCCAAGCAAUAGAAGAUUGCUGCCUUCACCUUGAGCGUCAGCCCUUCUCGACGUCGAUGGGAGCAGGCCUGGCCGUCUGCACAAAACGCAUCGCUCCGUCCAUGCCAAUCCUUCUUAAUGCCUCUAACCAUGGAGGUAGAAGGAAGCACGUCCACCAUAGGAAGGAAGCAAGUCUACCAUAUGAAGGAAGCACGGCCGAUUUUGGAAGGAAGCACGACUACCAUGCAAAGCACAACCGGCAUCGGAAGGAAAGCAGGACUUUCAUGCACGGCCAGCAUUCAAAUGGCGCACGCCCACCAUCAAAUAGAAGCAUGACUACCAUCACAGUGAAGCUUGACCAACAUUAGAAGGAAGCAUGGUGACCAUGGCCUGGUGGUGUUUGAACUGUGUGUAACGUUUUGUUUUAUGGAAGCAAAUUCUACAUUAUUUUGCAUGCAUAUUCUAGUUUCUUUGGAAGCGCUAGUUCAGUUUGUUCAAAACCUACGCAGUGUUGCUUCUAUUUGUACGUUUUUACUGUACAACCAUUUCCUUCCUUUAGUGAAUUAUUAUGCCAGACACUAAAUUGUGUGCUUCCUUCUUUCUAACUAAAUGCUUCAAAUGUACAGAUUCUGAAUGAUGAUAUAAUAUGUUGUGGGGCAGA
Long non-coding RNA from Triticum dicoccoides, 864 nucleotides. RefSeq lists it as uncharacterized. Lineage: Eukaryota; Viridiplantae; Streptophyta; Magnoliopsida; Poales; Poaceae. The record is from RefSeq and is a predicted model, not a curated record. The transcript has 3 exons.